RNAcentral lists this ribosomal RNA (253 nucleotides) under uncultured bacterium. RNAcentral's name for it is "partial 16S ribosomal RNA". It matches the Rfam family "Bacterial small subunit ribosomal RNA", at positions 524 to 776 of the family's 1533-position model. The record is from RNAcentral.
UACAGAGGUCCCGAGCGUUGUUCGGAUUCACUGGGCGUAAAGGGUGCGUAGGUGGUGAGGUAAGUCGGAUGUGAAAGCUCCAAGCUCAACUUGGAAAUGGCAUUGGAAACUACCUUGCUAGAGGGUUUGAGGGGGGACUGGAAUACUUGGUGUAGCAGUGAAAUGCGUAGAUAUCAGGAGGAACACCGGUGGCGAAGGCGGGUCUCUGGGCCGUAACUGACGCUGAGGAGCGAAAGCAUGGGGAGCGAACAGG